UCGAUGCUGAAAUGCAUCAUUCUAUCGAGUAAAAGCAGUGCGCGAAGGUGGUUGGAGUUAUCAGUUUGGGAAAACCAGAGCCCAAAGGCACACCAGGUUGGUAAAAACAGAACCCCUUAACUGAGAUAACGGAAACUUCCAGUCGUCGGAGAAUGACCGGCAUCGGAGACCCCACAAUGGGGUCGCUGGAGUCUGUCGAACACGUCUGUAACGAUGGCUAAUGCAAAGGCUCGGGUCGCGUGAAGUAACGGAGGAAGUAACGGAGAAACAACAGAAUACUCCCAGUGGCCGGCAAAGGACCGAUGUUGGAUGCCUCACAACGGACUCAUCGGAGUCCGUCGUCCAAGUUUGUGGCAGAGUUGAAAGUGCACGGCGACAGUACAACACCUUCGACAGAGAUGAAGUGAAAAAACCAAGUUCGCUGGCAAGGACCGACGCCGGACGGCCCUUAGCGAGGACGUCGGUGUUCGCCGGCCUCGUCUUUGACAGAGAGAAGGAGAAUCUU
Molecule: long non-coding RNA, 505 nt
Organism: Juglans microcarpa x Juglans regia
Lineage: Eukaryota; Viridiplantae; Streptophyta; Magnoliopsida; Fagales; Juglandaceae
Exons: 3
Source: RefSeq, a predicted model, not a curated record